UGAAACUGGUAUACUUGAGUAUGGUUGCUGUCGGCGGAAUGUAUUAUGUAGCGGUGAAAUGCAUAGAUAUGAUACAGAACACCAAUUGCGAAAGCAGCUGACAAAACCAGCACUGACGCUGAUAGACGAAAGCGUGGGGAGCGAACAGGAUUAGAUACCCUGGUAGUCCACGCAGUAAACUAUGGGCACUAGUUUUUGGCGAUAGACAGUCAGAGACAAAGCGAAAGCGUUAAGUGCCCCACCUGGGGAUUACGUUCGCAAGAAUGAAACUCAAAGGAAUUGACGGGGGCCCGCACAAGCGGAGGAACAUGUGGUUUAAUUCGAUGAUACGCGAGGAACCUUACCUGGGCUUAAAUGCUAGGCGUCUUCGGGCGUAGUCUGUAGAAAUACAGCCUAAACUUGCAAGGUGCUGCAUGGUUGUCGUCAGCUCGUGCCGUGAGGUGUCGGGUUAAGUCCCAUAACGAGCGCAACCCACAUUCUUAGUUGCCAUCAAAUAAGUUGGGCACUCUAGGAAAACUGCCAUCGUAAGAUGUGAGGAAGGUGUGGAUGACGUCAAAUCAGCACGGCCCUUAUGUCCAGGGCUACACACGUGUUACAAUGGUCGGUACAAAAGGCAGCGACCUGGUAACAGAGAGCUAAUCUUAAAAACCGGCCUCAGUUCGGAUUGGAGUCUGCAAUUCGACUCCAUGAAGUCGGAUUCGCUAGUAACCGCGUAUCAGCAAUGACGCGGUGAUACGUUCCCGGGCAUUGUACACACCGCCCGUCAAGCCAUGGAAGCUGGGUGCACACUGAAGUCCGUGACCGUUCAGGAGCGGCCGAAGGUGAAACUAGUGACUGGG
This 839-nucleotide ribosomal RNA is filed under the name uncultured organism. RNAcentral's name for it is "bacterial SSU rRNA". It matches the Rfam family "Bacterial small subunit ribosomal RNA", at positions 628 to 1479 of the family's 1533-position model. The record is from RNAcentral.